GCCGUCGUAGCUUAGCGGUAGAGCGUCUGAUUCGUAAUCAGAAGGUCGAGGGUUCAAUCCCCUCCGACGGCUCCA
Molecule: transfer RNA, 75 nt
Filed under: Thermoplasmata archaeon
Lineage: Archaea; Methanobacteriati; Thermoplasmatota; Thermoplasmata
Also listed under: 2 other names
Description: tRNA-Thr
Rfam family: tRNA
About the family: Transfer RNA (tRNA) molecules are approximately 80 nucleotides in length. Their secondary structure includes four short double-helical elements and three loops (D, anti-codon, and T loops).
Source: RNAcentral